Abortiporus biennis is the source of this 88-nucleotide non-coding RNA. The record is from the annotation of a GenBank genome assembly. Lineage: Eukaryota; Fungi; Basidiomycota; Agaricomycetes; Polyporales; Podoscyphaceae.
GGCCUGAUGGUCUAGUAGUAUGAUACCUUCUUAGGGCUUCAACAGCUGUGUUUGGAGGUGGUCCCGGGUUCAAUUCCCGGUCAGGCCC